Molecule: small nuclear RNA, 104 nt
Organism: Otolemur garnettii (small-eared galago)
Lineage: Eukaryota; Metazoa; Chordata; Mammalia; Primates; Galagidae
Source: Ensembl
GUGCUUGCUUCAGCAGCACAUAUACUAAAAUUGGAAUGAUACAGAGAUUAGCAUGGUGUCUGUGCAAGGAUGACACGCGAAUUUGUGAAGCGUUCCAUAUUUAA